CCUAAAAUUAUAUAUGUCGUAUUAAGCAAUUAUGAUUAUGUACGUUUAUUAUAUACGAAACCCGACUGCACCCGGCGUAAUAAUAAUAUUUAAAGCGUUCUUAAAAAAAAAAAAAAAAAAAAAAAACUUAACUGUGUUAGCCUUGGCUAUGAGAUUAUUAUUACUGUUAUUUUAUUGCCGCUCGUUGUACAUACCUGUGUGUUUAGUUAUAAUUAUAUUACGCCCGGACCGUGUUAAAAUUUUGUUAUUAUCGUUAUUUACAUUGCAUCCGUAUAUCAUAUUUUAACGACAUCGAUAAAUUAACAUACGUGAUGUCUUGACCGAACGCGUUUCGUUUUAUUGGUGCGCGCAACGUUGUGGAUAAAGUUUAUUGUUGCCUGUGUAUACACGCCU
This is a non-coding RNA of Cinara cedri, 393 nucleotides long. The record is from the annotation of a GenBank genome assembly. Lineage: Eukaryota; Metazoa; Arthropoda; Insecta; Hemiptera; Aphididae.